Molecule: ribosomal RNA, 504 nt
Filed under: uncultured bacterium
Lineage: Bacteria
Description: partial 16S ribosomal RNA
Rfam family: Bacterial small subunit ribosomal RNA
Source: RNAcentral
ACUCAAAUGAAUUGACGGGGGCUCACACAAGCGGUGGAGGAUGUUGCUCAAUUCGAAGCAACGCGAAGAACCUUACCAGGGUUUGACAUGCUGGAAUUAACCCCAUGAAAGUGGGGGGAUUGCCUUCGGGUGUAACCAGUACAGGUGUUGCAUGGCUGUCGUCAGCUCGUGCCUUGAGGUGUUGGGUUAAGUCCCCUAACGAGCGAAACCCCUAUCGUUAGUUGCCAUCGGGUCAUGCCGGGCACUCUAGCGAGACUGCCGGUGUCAAACCGGAGGAAGGUGGGGACGACGUCAAGUCAUCAUGGCCCUUAUAUCCUGGGCUGCAAACGUCCUACAAUGGCCCGUACAAAGGGAAGCAAAGCCGCGAGGCGGAGCAAAUCCCAAAAAGCAGGCCCUAGUUCGGAUUGCAGGCUGCAAUUCGCCUGCAUGAAGCUGGAAUCGCUAGUAAUCGCGGAUCAGAACGCCGCGGUGAAUAUGUUCCUGAGCCUUGUACACACCGCCCGU